RNAcentral lists this long non-coding RNA (460 nucleotides) under Mytilus galloprovincialis (Mediterranean mussel). The record is from RNAcentral. Lineage: Eukaryota; Metazoa; Mollusca; Bivalvia; Mytilida; Mytilidae.
CAUUGCAUGUUAUUAUUCUGAUGUCCUUUCUUGUCAGGUUACUAUACGUUAUUUUGCCGAGUCGUUAUCUUACACUUGCAAUCGGGAGUGCGUGAUUUUGCACUAUGACCUCACUGCGGCUUCGAGAUAAAAAUUAACAACAAAGCCGUUUUAUAAGAUAUUUUUUUCUUCAUGUGCAGUGCAUGUAAUGAAAUUGUGUCAUGAUUUGAUUUAAUUUUUGGUGUUGUAGCGCCACUUUUAAGCACCGCAUUUAGGCUAUUUCGUAGCGGCCAGUUUUAUAGGCGGAGGAAGUCGGAGUGCAUGGAGAAAACUAUCGACCUUCGAUAGGAAAACUGACAAUCCUAGUCAAUUAAGCACGAGCGUCAUAUGCCACUUUAAAAAAAUCGUAUGUUUUAUCAUGGAAACGCUGGUUUGGUGUGUCAUUUUGUUCAUGUGAAGAUUCUAGGGUCCAGUUAUUGUA